UGCUAAGUAGCAUGUGAUAAACUCAAGGGUGAAAUUUUGUCUUUAAUAAUAAUAAUAAUGAUAAUGAUAAUAGUAAUAAUUUUAAUAAUACUUUUGUGAAUUUUAAUCUCCAUGAGAUUAUUCUGUGAUCCAGGGUGCCAUUGUUUGUUCAGUUGGUUUCAUUUACACCGCUCCUCGAGUUUACUGUUAACUGGUUCUAAUACCAAUAUUUUACUAUGAAGUUCAUUAACCUGGAAUGUAAAACAAAACUGUAAUUCCUCCUAAAUCUUAUUUACAUGUGUUUAUUUAUAGUCUGCAGUGUAGGGCAGUAAAUUGAAAGGAUUAUGUGUACUAAAUUAACAAAAAGUGCAGCCCCGAGUGACUUCCUGAUUUCUUCAGAAUAACUCAUGAAAAUCAAGUGAGAGUUAAGUCUUAAAAUAAUCAGUUUUAAUUCAGAAAACUUUGGGCUGUAGAAUAAUCAAGCCUGAAAGAAGCAGCACCUAAAACUUGUUUUAUUGAUAGAAUGGAAUUUAAUACCUUUUACAUAUGCUUCAUGCAAUGAAUUUUGCAUGUUUAGUAAUAACUCUUAAUAAUAAGGGUUAAUAAUAAGCAGAUCUAUAUUAUUGACAUAAUCAUAUCAAGCAUAAAGAGUAUUAUAAAACUUUUAUAAAACAACUCGUGCUUUAUUUGUGAAAGUUCUUGUUCUGAAUGACACAUUUAGAUUUAGCUAAAUGUUUUCUUGCUAUUGUUUUGAUUUUUACUUUAGGUUUUGGAUAUUGUUACUGGCUUAGGGUAUAAUCUCUUUUUUUAAAAGUAGAUAUACUUUUAAAUGAUAAUUGCUACCUGCAGGUUUUAUACGAGGUUCAAUUAGGCUUUCAUUUCACAUCUGCUUAUUACUUGCAGAGAAGGAAAUAGACUUUAUUUGCAAUGAUGAACACUGUAAUUAAUGCAAUCUUCUCCUCUCCUAUCACUUAGAGAAAAAAUUUUGAUAUUUCCUCUUACAACUUUACCAGAAGAUAUUAAUUCAAAUAUCAGUAAAUACGUUUUGUGCAUAUUUUGGUUUUGUUACAGCAUGUAAAAUAGUAUUUGGUGCAUUCCCCUUAUUUUUUUUCCCUUCUGCCUUGUUCCCCUUAGCAGCCAUAGGCACUUUUUGUCUGUCAGAUGUGCAUGAUGAUGCCAGAAGCAUGAUGUCUCUGUUGCUGCAUGCAGACUGGUUACGAUUUUUCCAGCAUGUAAACAUAUUCAAAAAAACUUUAGUAACUCUGCUGAAGCCGUUUGGAGAGGAAUAAAAUCCGAUCUGAUAACGUUUCUUACCGAAUCUGGAGUCCAGCUUUUGUACCUGGAGUCAGGGUGUGGAGGGGGAGUGAUGCUGACUGUGUGGGUCAGCUGCACUCACCUCUCUUCCAGUCACUGAGAUUUUUAUGUGCAAUUUAAAAAUUCCGUGUCAAUGGAAGUCUUACCAGAACUGAUCAUUGGAAGGUGAGAUUCCCUGUGGAUAAAUAAGGUCAGCACAGCUGUUUUCUAGUAAUGUUUAUACGACUCCUGGUCCGUCUACCACAGGUUGAUACUUUCUGUUGAUAUUUUAAUGUAUUUCUGUGUUGUAUUUAUGUCUUUGUGUUUUUCUUUUCCUUGUCUGUGACACAGUAGGUCAAAUUUAAAAGAAAACUGCUCCAGAAGCUGGUUUUUUUUUUUCUCCCACUGAUGUCAGUUGACCUAAAUAAAUAAAUUAAGAGUCUAUUAAUGAUUCUAAACAGGAUGAGUAGCAACAGCAUUGAUAAUGCUCAGCCUGAUGCCAUUAGAGCUCAUUUCUCACUCAGGACUCAUUGGACAGUCCACAGCUGAUGUUACAUUAAUUUUAUAAUCAUUACUGACAGGAACAUUUUAAUAGAAAGGAAAAUGAUGUUUCUGAUAUUUAUAUAAGCUUUUUCCCUAAGAAUUACUUGGAUUUACUUUCCUUCUAUUUGAACCCCAUGAGGCAACACUGCCAAGGGCUCUGUCCUUCCAGAGCUUGGCUGGGGCCAAGAGCCCAAAAUCACCAAAAAUAUGAAUUAUAUUAUAUGUUUGUGUCCAUUGCUGUUGGCCUUGGAGCAGAAAAAAGUUUUGUUGCAGUGGUAACAAAUUUAAUCAAUGGCUCGUUCCCCACCAGGCCUUUCGUUUAUUCUCUCCCAUGUUAUCAAAAUGAAUGUAAAAAAAUUAAUUUCAACAAAAUGAAGCUCGUUGGCUCUUUUUAAAAUGUGCAUUCCCCAACAGUCUUUGGUUUUGCACAAUACAGAGAACACCUGAAACUUUUCAAAUGACUGUAUGCUACUUUAAUGUUCCCUUUUUUUAAACAAGGAGUAAUCCUGCCUUUAAAUCAUUCGUAUUUUUAAUAUUAUUUUAAGACCCUAAUGUUGUAUUUAUACAGAGGAGAACAUUAUUUAUUUUCAUAUCAUUUAUUUGCAAGAUGCUACCAGAAAACUUGGAGAGGCCAUUGAUCUUUCAAAAGAUUAAAAAAAAAAUACCAUAGGAAGUGUAGUGGGCAAGACUGAUGUACAAAUUACAGCAUCUUUUUUUUUCUUUUCUUAAUUCGCAAUAUCUUCAAUCUUUGUUUGCAUGAAAUGCUUUUGUUAAAUAUUAAUUGUAGUUUCCAAACAAGUGUGUACGAAUAAAAAUACUGAUCAUUA
Long non-coding RNA from Manacus vitellinus (golden-collared manakin), 2642 nucleotides. RefSeq lists it as uncharacterized. The record is from RefSeq and is a predicted model, not a curated record. The transcript has 2 exons. NCBI's taxonomy places the organism in Eukaryota, Metazoa, Chordata, Aves, Passeriformes, Pipridae.